ACGGGAGGCAGCAGUGGGGAAUAUUGGACAAUGGAGGCAACUCUGAUCCAGCGACGCCGCGUGAGUGAAGAAGUAUUUCGGUAUGUAAAGCUCUAUCAGCAGGGAAGAUAAUGACGGUACCUGACUAAGAAGCCCCGGCUAACUACGUGCCAGCAGCCGCGGUAAUACGUAGGGGGCAAGCGUUAUCCGGAUUUACUGGGUGUAAAGGGAGCGUAGGCGGCCAGACAAGUCAGAUGUGAAAACCCGGGGCUCAACUCCGGGACUGCAUUUGAAACUGCCAGGCUUGAGUGCAGGAGAGGCAAGUGGAAUUCCUAGUGUAGCGGUGAAAUGCGUAGAUAUUAGGAAGAACACCAGUGGCGAAGGCGGCUUACUGGACUGUAACUGACGUUGAGGCUCGAAAGCGUGGGGAGCAAACAGGAUUAGAUACCCUGGUA
Molecule: ribosomal RNA, 434 nt
Filed under: uncultured Lachnospiraceae bacterium
Lineage: Bacteria; Bacillati; Bacillota; Clostridia; Lachnospirales; Lachnospiraceae
Description: bacterial SSU rRNA
Rfam family: Bacterial small subunit ribosomal RNA
Source: RNAcentral